GAUGAACGCUGGCGGCGUGCUUAACACAUGCAAGUCGAACGAUGAAGCCCAGCUUGCUGGGUGGAUUAGUGGCGAACGGGUGAGUAACACGUGAGUAACCUGCCCUUAACUCUGGGAUAAGCCUGGGAAACUGGGUCUAAUACCGGAUAGGAGCGCCUACCGCACGGUGGGUGUUGGAGAGAUUUAGCGGUUUUGGAUGGACUCGCGGCCUAUCAGCUUGUUGGUGAGGUAAUGGCUCACCAAGGCGACGACGGGUAGCCGGCCUGAGAGGGUGACCGGCCACACUGGGACUGAGACACGGCCCAGACUCCUACGGGAGGCAGCAGUGGGGAAUAUUGCACAAUGGGCGAAAGCCUGAUGCAGCGACGCCGCGUGAGGGAUGACGGCCUUCGGGUUGUAAACCUCUUUCAGUAGGGAAGAAGCGAAAGUGACGGUACCUGCAGAAGAAGCACCGGCUAACUACGUG
This 466-nucleotide ribosomal RNA is filed under the name uncultured bacterium. Its description in RNAcentral is "partial 16S ribosomal RNA". It matches the Rfam family "Bacterial small subunit ribosomal RNA", at positions 28 to 507 of the family's 1533-position model. The record is from RNAcentral.